Long non-coding RNA from Cyprinus carpio (common carp), 1070 nucleotides. The record is from Ensembl. NCBI's taxonomy places the organism in Eukaryota, Metazoa, Chordata, Actinopteri, Cypriniformes, Cyprinidae.
ACCUCCAUAUUCACUACCCACAUUCUCUUCUGUUUUACUAUGUGAGUGUUAAAAGCAAUGACUAGAUGAUGUGUUAUAUGAUGAUUGUAAUGAUGUAAUAUUCUCAAAAGAAUUCGUUUUUUAUAAUACUUACAAAUUUCCAAUUCUCUGCUGCUCCUUGUGUUUUUCAGAAUCCUUUGGCUUUUCCUUUUCCCCUCCCUUUCUCUUCCCUCCCCUCAUCAUCCCUCCGCCUGUCUCUCUCUCUCUCCCUCUCUCUCUAUUAGACAUUCGCUCUUCCCAAAUUUUGGAGUUAUGUGUAUAGCCUUUGUACAUAAUGGAGUUUUGCUGUAUGUUUUAUACUAUAUAACAAAAUGCCAUGUAUCAUUGGUUUUUAAUUGAUUCUUUUUAUUGCAUUAUAGGUCAGGAGAGGACACAACUGAGAAUGUUAUGGGGCUUAUAAUUUUGCCUUGGACCUUGUUAGGCAGCCUUGCAUUAUUAGAUCUACCCAGCACUGGUUACAGAAAAGACAGGGUGGAAUUGAUGGUGCAACAGUGUGGACAGCUGGAAAGUUGGAGUCGGCUACACAUAUCUGAACUGAUCCAGUCAAUCCCAGAACAACCCUAACCUGACACCCGUCCCAUUGUACCUGUGUUUGUUUAACAUUUCACACUGCUCUUGUCCUAUUUAGAGUGGAGCAGAGCUGCUGCUCUGGUCGGAUCAUCUGAAGUGUUAUAAUAAUGCACGAUGAGGUCGGUAUAGUUCGCCAACAAAUGCUGACAUACACACAUGUGUAUGUCAACUUAUAAAUGCAACUUGAGGAGUGCAUAUUAUAUAACAGAAUGAAGAGAGUACACGAGUCACCAAAACAAACAAGUUUAUUCAAACAUGUAUAAACAGUCAUGUGUUGCUAUGUACAUCAAAACAACUGCUUGAGGUAGAGACAGUGUUUAUGUAUUCCACCCACAUCUGAUGAGUAUUAUUAAUCUACACCUCCUCAGUACCUAUUUGCCUCUACACAUGUUGAGUGAAUACUUAUAAGUUGCACCUGAGAAAAAAAUAAAUAAAUCAGAGUCCUGAAAAAAUAUAUAAUU